RNAcentral lists this ribosomal RNA (185 nucleotides) under uncultured Streptococcaceae bacterium. RNAcentral's name for it is "partial 16S ribosomal RNA". It matches the Rfam family "Bacterial small subunit ribosomal RNA", at positions 154 to 334 of the family's 1533-position model. The record is from RNAcentral. Lineage: Bacteria; Bacillati; Bacillota; Bacilli; Lactobacillales; Streptococcaceae.
AAACGAUAGCUAAUACCGCAUGAAAUUGCUUAUCGCAUGAUAAUUAAUUGAAAGAUGCAAUUGCAUCACUACCAGAUGGACCUGCGUUGUAUUAGCUAGUUGGUGAGGUAACGGCUCACCAAGGCGACGAUACAUAGCCGACCUGAGAGGGUGAUCGGCCACACUGGGACUGAGACACGGCCCUG